RNAcentral lists this ribosomal RNA (253 nucleotides) under uncultured prokaryote. Its description in RNAcentral is "partial 16S ribosomal RNA". It matches the Rfam family "Bacterial small subunit ribosomal RNA", at positions 525 to 777 of the family's 1533-position model. The record is from RNAcentral.
ACAGAGGGUGCGAGCGUUGUCCGGAAUCACCGGGCGUAAAGGGCGCGUAGGUGGCGCUCCAAGUCGAUGGUGAAAGCUCGUCGCUCAACGACGAGUCGGCCACCGAUACUGGAGGGCUCGAGCACUGUAGGGGCAGAUGGAAUUCCGGGUGUAGCGGUGGAAUGCGUAGAGAUCCGGAAGAACACCGGUGGCGAAAGCGCUCUGCUAGGCCGCAACUGGCACUGAGGGACGAAAGCUAGGGGAGCGAAUGGGA